Molecule: unclassified non-coding RNA, 349 nt
Filed under: soil metagenome
Description: partial contains 5.8S ribosomal RNA, internal transcribed spacer 2, and large subunit ribosomal RNA
Rfam family: 5.8S ribosomal RNA (bases 1-119)
Source: RNAcentral
GAUGAAGAACGUAGCGAAAUGCGAUAAGUAGUGUGAAUUGCAGAAUCCGUGAGUCAUCGAAUCUUUGAACGCACAUUGCGCCCUCUGGUAUUCCGGAGGGCAUGCCUGUUCGAGCGUCAUUAUCACCCCUCAAGCCCGGCUUGUUGUUGGAUGCAGCACUUAUCCCGCUCCUCCCAAAGAUAAUGACGGCGUCUGCGACGACUCCUGUACACUGAGCUUUCGGGCACGUACACGGCUAGAAGUCCAGACCCGGUCGCCGUCCCCCCCGCGGGGACACCCAUUACCACAAGGUUGACCUCGGAUCAGGUAGGAAUACCCGCUGAACUUAAGCAUAUCAAUAAGCGGAGGA